RNAcentral lists this ribosomal RNA (743 nucleotides) under Ochlerotatus fulvus pallens. RNAcentral's name for it is "eukaryotic LSU rRNA". It matches the Rfam family "Eukaryotic large subunit ribosomal RNA", at positions 303 to 892 of the family's 3401-position model. Lineage: Eukaryota; Metazoa; Arthropoda; Insecta; Diptera; Culicidae. The record is from RNAcentral.
ACUCCUUCUAAAGCUAAAUAUCACCACGAGACCGAUAGCGAACAAGUACCGUGAGGGAAAGUUGAAAAGCACUCUGAAUAGAGAGUCAAAAAGUACGUGAAACUGCCUAGGGCUCAAACCCGUUGAACUCGAUUAUCCGGGCGGGGACAUUCACCUGCGGUUGGCCAGCGAUGGCACGCCGCAGGGCACUUGUCCCCGUCGAUCCUAGAGGACAUUGCGAUCCAUUACGAAACAGCUUCGCGUUGGCAACGACGCAAGGUCGCCCGACAGUUGCCCCUUGGUGCUGGUUGCUUGUCCCACAGUAGCGACGCUCAGUUCUGAAGGCCUGUGCCGCGAGGUGGGACUUACUGCACGUGGUGUUUGCAGUCGGGCGCGUGAUGGAUUUACCCGUACGCCGUCGGGCCCCCCGGGGUCUGGCGGACCGUCGAUCGGCAAUGAUAAAAUCGAGGUACCUUCGGGACCCGUCUUGAAACACGGACCAAGAAGUCUAUCUUGCGCGCGAGCCAAUGGUCGUCUCCGGAACACCAAAGGCGCAAAAAACAUAACUUGAGUUGUGCGGGAUUACGGGCGCGGCUCUUUGCAGCGUCCCUCCAUCCCCGGGUGUUGUAACCGGCAUGCGGUGGUCUCCACCGUGCCACAACAUACCGUGAGUGUGCAGGAUGUGACCCGAAAGAUGGUGAACUAUGCCUGAUCAGGUUGAAGUCAGGGGAAACCCUGAUGGAGGACCGAAGCAGUUCUGACGU